UCUACCCAUUGGUCUGGAAUAACGUUGGGAAACUGACGCUAAUACCGGAUAUUCCCUUCGGGGGAAAGAUUUAUUGCCAAUGGAUGAGCCCGCGUCAGAUUAGUUAGUUGGUGGGGUAACGGCCUACCAAGACAACGAUCUGUAGCUGGUCUGAGAGGACGACCAGCCACACUGGGACUGAGACACGGCCCAGACUCCUACGGGAGGCAGCAGUGGGGAAUAUUGGACAAUGGGGGCAACCCUGAUCCAGCAAUGCCGCGUGAAUGAUGAAGGCCUUAGGGUUGUAAAGUUCCUUCGCACACGACGAUGAUGACGGUAGUGUGAGAAGAAGCCCCGGCAAACUUCGUGCCAGCAGCCGCGGUAAUACGAAGGGGGCUAGCGUUGUUCGGAAUUACUGGGCGUAAAGGGCAUGUAGGCGGCCCGAUAAAUUAGAAGUGAAAUGCCUGGGCUUAACCCGGGAACUGCUUUUAAGACUGUCGGGCUUGAAUCCGUGAGAGGACAGUGGAAUUCCCAGUGUAGAGGUGAAAUUCGUAGAUAUUGGGAGGAACACCAGUAGCGAAGGCGACUGUCUGGUGCGGUAUUGACGCUGAGAUGCGAAAGCGUGUGGAGCAAACAGGAUUAGAUACCCUGGUAGUCCACGCUGUAAACGAUGAGUGCUAGAUGUU
Molecule: ribosomal RNA, 665 nt
Filed under: uncultured bacterium
Lineage: Bacteria
Description: bacterial SSU rRNA
Rfam family: Bacterial small subunit ribosomal RNA
Source: RNAcentral